GCGGGAUUAGUUUAAUGGUAGAACUGCAGUUUUCCAAACUGUAGGCGGGAGUUCGAUUCUCCCAUCCCGCA
This 71-nucleotide transfer RNA is filed under the name Candidatus Tayloriibacteriota bacterium. RNAcentral describes it as "tRNA-Gly". It matches the Rfam family "tRNA". From Rfam's summary of the family: Transfer RNA (tRNA) molecules are approximately 80 nucleotides in length. Their secondary structure includes four short double-helical elements and three loops (D, anti-codon, and T loops). Further hydrogen bonds mediate the characteristic L-shaped molecular structure. tRNAs have two regions of fundamental functional importance: the anti-codon, which is responsible for specific mRNA codon recognition, and the 3' end, to which the tRNAs corresponding amino acid is attached (by aminoacyl-tRNA synthetases). tRNAs cope with the degeneracy of the genetic code in two manners: having more than one tRNA (with a specific anti-codon) for a particular amino acid; and 'wobble' base-pairing, i.e. permitting non-standard base-pairing at the 3rd anti-codon position. The record is from RNAcentral. Lineage: Bacteria; Candidatus Tayloriibacteriota.